This 477-nucleotide ribosomal RNA is filed under the name uncultured bacterium. RNAcentral's name for it is "partial 16S ribosomal RNA". It matches the Rfam family "Bacterial small subunit ribosomal RNA", at positions 32 to 523 of the family's 1533-position model. The record is from RNAcentral.
AAUCAACGCUGGCGGCGUGCCUAACACAUGCAAGUCGAACGAGAAAGUGGAGCAAUCCAUGAGUACAGUGGCGCACGGGUGAGUAACACGUGACUAACCUGCCUUCGAGUGGGGAAUAACCUCGGGAAACCGGGGCUAAUACCGCAUAACAUCAUCGGGUGAAAUUCCUGCUGAUCAAAAGUUUUUUGCUUGAAGAGGGGGUCGCGGCUGAUUAGCUAGUUGGUGGGGUAACGGCCCACCAAGGCAGUGAUCAGUAGCCGGCCUGAGAGGGCGCACGGGCACACUGGAACUGAAACACGGUCCAGACUCCUACGGGAGGCAGCAGUGGGGAAUUUUGCGCAAUGGGGGAAACCCUGACGCAGCAACGCCGCGUGGAGGAUGAAGUCCCUUGGGACGUAAACUCCUUUCGAUCGGGAAGAAUAAUGACGGUACCGGAAGAAGAAGCCCCGGCUAACUUCGUGCCAGCCGCCGCGGUAA